RNAcentral lists this ribosomal RNA (369 nucleotides) under uncultured organism. RNAcentral's name for it is "bacterial SSU rRNA". It matches the Rfam family "Bacterial small subunit ribosomal RNA", at positions 528 to 896 of the family's 1533-position model. The record is from RNAcentral.
GGGGGGGCAAGCGUUGUCGGAAUUACUGGGCGUAAAGGGCGCGUAGGCGGCCUGCUAAGUCGGACGUGAAAUCCCCCGGCUCAACCGGGGAACUGCGUCCGAUACUGGUGGGCUCGAAUCCGGGAGAGGGAUGUGGAAUUCCAGGUGUAGCGGUGAAAUGCGUAGAUAUCUGGAGGAACACCGGUGGCGAAGGCGGCAUCCUGGACCGGCAUUGACGCUGAGGCGCGAAAGCCAGGGGAGCAAACGGGAUUAGAUACCCCGGUAGUCCUGGCCCUAAACGAUGAGUGCUUGGUGUGGCGGGUAUCGAUCCCUGCCGUGCCGAAGCUAACGCAUUAAGCACUCCGCCUGGGGAGUACGGUCGCAAGGCUG